GACGAACGCUGGCGGCGUGCUUAACACAUGCAAGUCGAACGGAAAGGCCCUGCUUUUGUGGGGUGCUCGAGUGGCGAACGGGUGAGUAACACGUGAGUAACCUGCCCUUGACUUUGGGAUAACUUCAGGAAACUGGGGCUAAUACCGGAUAGGAGCUCCUGCUGCAUGGUGGGGGUUGGAAAGUUUCGGCGGUUGGGGAUGGACUCGCGGCUUAUCAGCUUGUUGGUGGGGUAGUGGCUUACCAAGGCUUUGACGGGUAGCCGGCCUGAGAGGGUGACCGGCAACAUGGGGAAGGAGGGCGGCCCAAGCCCCUGCGGGGGGGAACGGGGGGGAAUUUUUGAAAAUGGGGGGGAGGCCUGAGGCGGCACCCCCGGGGGGGGAAGGGCGGCCUGGGGUUGGAAAACCGUUUGCGCCGGAGAAGAAGGGGGGGGGAGGGUAAGGGAAAAAGAAGCCCGGGAAAAUUAGGGG
RNAcentral lists this ribosomal RNA (468 nucleotides) under uncultured bacterium. Its description in RNAcentral is "partial 16S ribosomal RNA". The stretch from base 13 to 373 matches the Rfam family "Bacterial small subunit ribosomal RNA", at positions 40 to 399 of the family's 1533-position model. The record is from RNAcentral.